GCAUUGAUAGCUUAAAUGACAAAGCAUUAGUCUUGUAAACUGAAGACGAGGGUUUAAACCCCUACCAACGCU
This 72-nucleotide transfer RNA is filed under the name Raddaella batesii. RNAcentral's name for it is "tRNA-Thr". It matches the Rfam family "tRNA". Rfam says of the family: Transfer RNA (tRNA) molecules are approximately 80 nucleotides in length. Lineage: Eukaryota; Metazoa; Chordata; Actinopteri; Cyprinodontiformes; Nothobranchiidae. The record is from RNAcentral.